UUCCCCUGGUUUCUUUUCAUUAAUGACUCAAAAAACAUAUUAAAUUUCAAAAGUGGCACACUCUGCAUUCUAUUUUCAAAUAUAGCACAAUUUUAAUUACAUUCAGAAUUCAGUUUCUAAGAAACAGUUAAUGACAUGUAAGUAAUUUUUAAUAAAAGCAUAACUUGAGAGAUUUGUUUGACAGAGACACGAAUUGUGGAAAUGGGUAAAAUGAGUUUUUAACCUAGGUAACUCUUUUUCACUUACUUUAAAAUCCUCUUCACUUUUUCUUUUCUUGUUCUUUGUCUAACCUAGUUGUUGCCCCCUCCCCUUUGUUCGUCUUCUUCUCUUCUCCAUUUUUGUUCUUCUCUUCUUCCACUCCAUUUCAUAGCACCACAUACCACCACAACACCCUUUGCACCACGGACACUCUUUCAAAGCAAGGAAGGAAAGCUAAGGUAUUUGUUUACAUUUUUGUCUACAUUUGCAUAAUUAUAGAGUUUGAAUGAGAUUGAUUUGACCUAUGCAUUAAUCUAGAAAACCUGAUGAGGAAAAAAAUCAUUAAAGCCUUCAACGAGUUUUGAAGAUCGUUGACCUUCAACGAGUUUUGAAGAUCGUUGACCUUCAACGAGUUUUGAAAAUCAUUGAGACCUUCAUUAUUAAUAACAUCUCCAUAUUUUGUAAUAAUAUUUUUAGAAAUUUCAAUUACUUUAGAAUUAAUAAUUAAGAAUGUAUAAAUAGUGUUAUGUACCAAAUCAACACAAUUGACCACUUUCACAUCCCUUAACAAAACUUUUAUUUAAUUAUUAUGAUUUGAUCAUAUUUAUUCAAAAUUUAAGUUUCUCAUAUUAUGUUUUAAUUGUUUCAAAUUUUUUUAUUAGUGCCUAUUUCAAAUUGAUUUUACCUAUGUUCUAAUUGAUGUUAACUAACUAUUUGUUAUUUUAAUUUAGCUUUGUUUUGAACAAUUAAAAAUGUAUGAUGACUUAUAGGUAAAAGUUAUUUCAUUUCUUAAAAUGUUUUAAUUUUAAAUCUUAUUUCAUCUUUAUAUAAAAUUUAUUUGAGGUAACGAAUAUGUUUUAAUUUAUUUUCAUCUUACUUCAGGGUCAUCAAACAAUCAAAGAUUCAACUUACAUACAGGUAUGUUUUUGAAUUCUCCAUCCAUAUAUGCUUUAAUCUCUCCACAUUCUUACUAUGAGCUCACAAUUUUUUUAUUAUUAAUCAGACUGUUUAAUCAUUGAAAAUUUCUACUUUAGUUUUUCUAUCCUCUGAAUAUUGCAAAUAUACAAACCUUCAUGGUAUGUAAUAUUAAUUUUCAUUAAUUAAAACUAGUAAAAACACGUGUUAAAAAAUAAUACAAUUAUUAUUAUAAUAAUAAUAAUUAUUAUUAUUAUAAAAUUAAAUAUAAAUAAUUUGUAUUACUUUAUUGUAAAUGAUUUUUAUUUAUUUUGCAAAUAGUUUUAUAAUUAAAAGAUGGUUCAAUUUUUCUAAAAAAAAAAAACUGUUAAAUUUAAAAAGUGAAAUUAAUAAAAUGAUUAUUUUUGUUUAAAAAUAUUAUUUAAAGAAUAAGAUGGAAAAAUAAAUAUAAACAUGAAAAGAAGAUCUCUUUAUAUAUGUAAUACUUCAUUGAUAGGAUAAGUUAUGUUUUUCAAUGAAAUAAAAUCAAAAUUCGAUAUUUUUCUUCUCCAAAUUAAUAGUACGAAAUCUAAAGCCUCUAUUCAUCUUUUUUUUUUUUCACUUCGGUCAACCCUAAUCUUCUUUUUUUACUCUAGCUAACUUUGUUUUUCCCCUUUCACUCCAGUCAACUUCCAUUACCCUUUCAUUUGUCUUUCAUGAUUUUUUUUUUCAUUAGUGACACAAAAAAACAUAUUUAAUUUCAGAAAUGGCACAUUGUGCAUUAUAUUUAGAAAUAUAGAACAAUUUUAAUUACAUUCAGAAUUCAGUUUCUAAGAAACUGUUAAUGUCAUUUGAGUAAUUUUUAUUAAAAGCAUAACUUGAGAUUUGUUUGACAGAAACACGAAUUAUGGGAAUGAGUAAAAUGAGUUUUUAACUUAGGUAAUUCUUUUUUCACUUACUUUAAAACCCUCCUCACUUUUUCUUUUCUUGUUCUUUGUCUAACCUAGCCGUUGUCACCUCUCCUUUGUUCGUCUUCUUCUCUUCUCCAUCUUUGUUCUUCUCUUCGUCCACUCCACUACCACAAGUUUCAUAACAUCACAUAUCAUCACGUACACUCUUUCAAAGCAAGGAAGGAAAGCUAAGAUAUUUAUUUACGUUUUUAUUUACAUUUGUAUAAUUAUAGAGUUUGAAAGAGGUUAGUUUGGCCUAUGCAUUAAUUUAGAAAACUUGGUGAGGAAAAAAAUUAUUGAAGCCUUCCACGAGUUUUGAAUCAAUUUUAAAGAAAUUUCAAAUUCAUUCAUGGAAGUUUCAAAUUGAU
Molecule: long non-coding RNA, 2410 nt
Filed under: Vigna radiata
Lineage: Eukaryota; Viridiplantae; Streptophyta; Magnoliopsida; Fabales; Fabaceae
Description: long non-coding RNA (VRAD_LNC011401)
Source: RNAcentral